This 270-nucleotide ribosomal RNA is filed under the name uncultured Porphyromonadaceae bacterium. Its description in RNAcentral is "partial 16S ribosomal RNA". It matches the Rfam family "Bacterial small subunit ribosomal RNA", at positions 71 to 339 of the family's 1533-position model. Lineage: Bacteria; Pseudomonadati; Bacteroidota; Bacteroidia; Bacteroidales; Porphyromonadaceae. The record is from RNAcentral.
UAAAGGCAGCAAUGUCUUAGGUGGCGACCGGCGCACGGGUGAGUAACACGUAUGCAACCUGCCCACAACUGCGGGAUAACCCGUCGAAAGACGGACUAAUACCGCAUGGUAUGGAUUGAUCGCCUGAUUGAUUCAUCAAAGAAUUUCGGUUGUGGAUGGGCAUGCGUUCCAUUAGGCAGUUGGUGAGGUAACGGCUCACCAAACCUACGAUGGAUAGGGGUUCUGAGAGGAAGGUCCCCCACACUGGUACUGAGACACGGACCAGACUCC